CAUACACAUGCAGUCGUACAAGAGUAACGCAAGCAGCUUGCUGGUUUGCUGACGAGUGGCGGACGGGUGAGUAAUGUCUGGGAAACUGCCUGAUGGAGGGGGAUAACUACUGGAAACGGUAGCUAAUACCGCAUAACGUCGCAAGACCGAAGAGGGGGACCUUCGGGCCUCUUGCCAUCGGAUGUGCCCAGAUGGGAUUAGCUAGUAGGUGGGGUAACGGCUCACCUAGGCGACGAUCCCUAGCUGGUCUGAGAGGAUGACCAGCCACACUGGAACUGAGACACGGUCCAGACUCCUACGGGAGGCAGCAGUGGGGAAUAUUGCACAAUGGGCGCAAGCCUGAUGCAGCCAUGCCGCGUGUAUGAAGAAGGCCUUCGGGUUGUAAAGUACUUUCAGCGGGGAGGAAGGCGAUAAGGUUAAUAACCUUGUCGAUUGACGUUACCCGCAGAAGAAGCACCGGCUAACUCCGUGCCAGC
RNAcentral lists this ribosomal RNA (476 nucleotides) under Kosakonia cowanii. RNAcentral describes it as "bacterial SSU rRNA". It matches the Rfam family "Bacterial small subunit ribosomal RNA", at positions 48 to 512 of the family's 1533-position model. The record is from RNAcentral. Lineage: Bacteria; Pseudomonadati; Pseudomonadota; Gammaproteobacteria; Enterobacterales; Enterobacteriaceae.